UACGUAGGGUGCAAGCGUUGUCCGGAAUUAUUGGGCGUAAAGAGCUCGUAGGCGGUCUGUCGCGUCGGCUGUGAAAUCCCGAGGCUCAACCUCGGGUCUGCAGUCGAUACGGGCAAACUAGAGUAUUGCAGGGGAGACUGGAAUUCCUGGUGUAGCGGUGAAAUGCGCAGAUAUCAGGAGGAACACCGGUGGCGAAGGCGGGUCUCUGGGCAAUAACUGACGCUGAGGUGCGAAAGCGUGGGGAGCAAACAGG
RNAcentral lists this ribosomal RNA (253 nucleotides) under uncultured bacterium. Its description in RNAcentral is "partial 16S ribosomal RNA". It matches the Rfam family "Bacterial small subunit ribosomal RNA", at positions 524 to 776 of the family's 1533-position model. The record is from RNAcentral.